GGACCAUGCUGUACAAAAUGGCAGCUCCUUCUCCUCAAUUCAAGUCAAAGGUUUAGCAGGAAGUUUCUUUUCAGCUUUUCAAAGCUCCGAGCAUGUUCCUGAACUAAAAUGUUUGAACGUGAGUCAAGACUUCCUCAUAACACUGAAAUAUCGACCUAUCACUCCAAAAAGAGGCAAACUGUCCCCUGAACACGGCCUCACUCAGUCUCCAGUCCCAAUAUUCAAAAUAUCAACAGUGCCCGUAGACUUCUUGGCAACUGGGCAGACUAUAAAGACCAGGGGAACAGAAACCAUGUCCCCAUCGUUCCCAACCUGUGCACCCAGGCACCCUGUGCUGCGUGAUAUUUUGAAAUUUUGAGAGAAACACAGCAACAUUUCAUCAGAUAUCACAAGAACUUCUAGCUUGAAGUAGCUCUGCUUCAAAUUUAGAUUAUGUUGCAUUUCUGUUCGUAAUAUAUUUUUUGCAAAGCUGAGUUUAGUGAUCAGUGUCAUAAAAUGCAAGUAAGCACAAAGUCAAUAUGGGAUAAAAAAUGAGGAUGGCAGUGUCUGAUUGGAUUCCAAAGAUUGAGAAUCUGCGCAGUGCCCAACAGGCACAUACAUCCCAUGAGCUGAAAAGUUCCACACUGAACACAUUCCUACAAAUGUGGCUAGAGAACAUGGUCUAGCUAAACUUCACCUUUAGGCUACCCGUGGAGGCAAGUGGGAUGUGGCUUGAAUAUCAAUAUUGGCUCGCACACAGAUUGCAUCCUCCGAACAGAGGCUCCGGAUGGCUCACCAGGCUGGCUGUGGGCUCUCCUGGCGAGGCUCGUUCUGUCUUUAAGAGGGCUCAUUCAUUUUGCAUGACAGCUCAACUUUUAAUGUAGAUCUCAUUUCAGUGUUAUCCCUACAUCAUCCUACCAUGUAAAAUAAAGUAUCUGCAUGUGCUUGAACUCGGAAUGUUUUAUAGCGUCAUGUCAGAAGUUUAUUCUUAGUUGAAUGCUUAUUCUCUCGGCAUGUGAGAUGCAUUUAUC
Molecule: long non-coding RNA, 1010 nt
Organism: Equus caballus (horse)
Lineage: Eukaryota; Metazoa; Chordata; Mammalia; Perissodactyla; Equidae
Source: Ensembl